UCAGAGAGGCCAACUAAUCCAGAUUUGGAUUCAGACAUAAUUACAUAAAUACAAGAGAAAAUGGAAGUUGCUGUAGAAACAAACCCCAAAAGCUCUCUGCAACACACCCUACUGGAUCACUAGUUAAGCUGCAUCUGCAAAGAUUGAAGGAUUCUGAUGCUAAAAAAUGAUCAACAAUUUCAAAGUUCUUGCAGUCUGAAAAAUCUCAUGAUUCUCCAGAAUCAGAAACAAAUGAAUUUCUAAAGGUUGAUGCACUGUUACAGUUUCUCGUCAGUUCAAAGCCUUCAUCUGUUGAAGAAAUUUCAAUGUCAUUCAAAAUUUAGAGUUUCCCUUUAAACCAGAAGCCAAACCCAAAUCAUGUUGUUAACCAUCAAAAUCUCAUACUUUGUACAUCAAUUUGAUGUGAUUAAACAAAGCUGUAUAUAUUUUUUGAUCAAGAAGUUGUAUAUAUAUUUUUAAUCAGAAUGAACCAACCUCUACAAACGUUGAAUAAUUGAAUAAUAGUCUAG
RNAcentral lists this long non-coding RNA (509 nucleotides) under Medicago truncatula (barrel medic). Its description in RNAcentral is "lncRNA gene19967". Lineage: Eukaryota; Viridiplantae; Streptophyta; Magnoliopsida; Fabales; Fabaceae. The record is from RNAcentral.